Molecule: ribosomal RNA, 359 nt
Filed under: uncultured Streptococcus sp.
Lineage: Bacteria; Bacillati; Bacillota; Bacilli; Lactobacillales; Streptococcaceae
Description: bacterial SSU rRNA
Rfam family: Bacterial small subunit ribosomal RNA
Source: RNAcentral
UACGAUCGGUGACAGGUGGUGGCAUGGUUGUCGUCAGCUCGUGUCGUGAGAUGUUGGGUUAAGUCCCGCAACGAGCGCAACCCCUAUUGUUAGUUGCCAUCAUUCAGUUGGGCACUCUAGCGAGACUGCCGGUAAUAAACCGGAGGAAGGUGGGGAUGACGUCAAAUCAUCAUGCCCCUUAUGACCUGGGCUACACACGUGCUACAAUGGUUGGUACAACGAGUUGCGAGUCGGUGACGGCGAGCUAAUCUCUUAAAGCCAAUCUCAGUUCGGAUUGUAGGCUGCAACUCGCCUACAUGAAGUCGGAAUCGCUAGUAAUCGCGGAUCAGCACGCCGCGGUGAAUACGUUCCCGGGCCUU